RNAcentral lists this ribosomal RNA (504 nucleotides) under uncultured bacterium. RNAcentral's name for it is "bacterial SSU rRNA". It matches the Rfam family "Bacterial small subunit ribosomal RNA", at positions 8 to 507 of the family's 1533-position model. The record is from RNAcentral.
AGAGUUUGAUCAUGGCUCAGAACGAACGCUGGCGGCAUGCCUAACACAUGCAAGUCGAACGGUAACAGGGUGCUUGCACCGCUGACGAGUGGCGAACGGGUGAGUAAUGCAUCGGAAUGUACCGUGUAAUGGGGGAUAGCUCGGCGAAAGCCGGAUUAAUACCGCAUACGCCCUGAGGGGGAAAGUGGGGGACCGAAAGGCCUCACGUUAUACGAGCAGCCGAUGUCUGAUUAGCUAGUUGGUGAAGUAAAGGCCCACCAAGGCGUCGAUCAGUAGCGGGUCUGAGAGGAUGAUCCGCCACACUGGGACUGAGACACGGCCCAGACUCCUACGGGAGGCAGCAGUGGGGAAUUUUGGACAAUGGGCGCAAGCCUGAUCCAGCCAUGCCGCGUGUCUGAAGAAGGCCUUCGGGUUGUAAAGGACUUUUGUCCGGGAGCAAAUCCUAGUGGUUAAUAACCGCUGGGUCUGAGAGUACCGGAAGAAUAAGCACCGGCUAACUACGUG